UCGACCGUUAUGCGUUGUCUCUUCGGAGACAUCCGAUAAAAUUGGAACGAUACAGAGAAGAUUAGCAUGGCCCCUGCGCAAGGAUGACACGCAUAAAUCGAGAAAUGGUCCAAAUUUUUUUUCCUGCUCGCGCAAAUCGCAUGGCGGAUUGGAUUUAGGUUUUGCCCCCUUUUAUCGACUUCAUUCUUUGGUUUUGUUCCUCCUGCGAGUAUAGGAUAUUUAACAUCAUUCAAGAAUUGUCCGGCCAGUAUGCCUGGUGAAUCAAAAACUUCUGAACUGGUCUACACAUUGCCAGAGAGUGAGGUCGCCUACAAAUGUUCAUUUGUUUUUGCCACAAGAGUCUGCCUCAAUAACUUUGGUACUCCUACAGCCUUGUCAAAAUCCACUAUUGGGGUGAUUCCACUCUUAUGAAAAAAUUUCCAGAACUAACCACACCAAACCUCCACCAGACCCAACUAAGCAUUUGUCUUCAAUAUGAAGCUGGUUCACUUCCCUCAAUAUAAAGUCCAUCAAACUUGACAUGGAUCCAUCUGGCGCCUUGUUCUUAUGAUCAUAUGGCGUGAAUAGGGCCUGCAAACAAUAAUUAAUGAGAAUACAGAACAGAGGUAAGAGGCAUGAUUCCUCUUAGUGAGAUUAUUUGAUAUUCCUGUUCAAAAUCUCAAGCCACCAAUAAAGUCUGCUAUUUCCAAAGGUACUCAAUAGUCUAGUAAAAGAUUCAACAGGGAAACAAUUAUUUGAAUUACGACCAUAUUUAUAUAACAUGGGAGCUACUCUAUGCAGUCAUACUGUUAACCCUUUCUCAUGUUAUUAAAUAGUUUGUAGGUUUAAACAUUUAAAUAUUUUUGACAAAUCAGCUAUUCUAUGAUAUUUAUUCUGGAGAUAGUUU
Long non-coding RNA from Zingiber officinale, 886 nucleotides. RefSeq lists it as uncharacterized. The record is from RefSeq and is a predicted model, not a curated record. The transcript has 5 exons. Lineage: Eukaryota; Viridiplantae; Streptophyta; Magnoliopsida; Zingiberales; Zingiberaceae.